This 152-nucleotide ribosomal RNA is filed under the name Ceramonema sp. OB_08_15. RNAcentral's name for it is "partial 18S ribosomal RNA". Lineage: Eukaryota; Metazoa; Nematoda; Chromadorea; Plectida; Ceramonematidae. The record is from RNAcentral.
UACUUGGUAUAGUCCGGGAUUUAACCCCCUCUAGAUAACCCCAUCGCACCGUGGCGGAGACCAUUCGAGCUGCCUAUCAACUUUGUGGUAGUCGCGUGCCUAUGGCCGGGACGGGGAAUCAGGGUUCGACGGAGAGGGAGCCUACGGCUACC